RNAcentral lists this ribosomal RNA (116 nucleotides) under Pteropus alecto (black flying fox). Lineage: Eukaryota; Metazoa; Chordata; Mammalia; Chiroptera; Pteropodidae. The record is from RNAcentral.
GUCUGUGGGCAUGCCACCCUGAACAAGCCCGAUGUCUGAUCUCAGAAGCUAAGCAGGGUCGGGCCUGGUUAGUACUUCAAUGGGAGACCACCUAGGAAGACCAGGUACUGUAGGCA